UUGAUUCUGGCUCAGAACGAACGCUGGUAGCGUGGAUUAGGCAUGCAAGUCGAACGGGAUCCGGGAGGUAGCAAUACUUCCUGGUGAGAGUGGCGGAUUGGGGAGGAACACGUGAGCAACCUGCCUUUGAGUCGGGGAAAACCGUUGGAAACGACGGCUAAUACCGGAUGUGGCGCCCGGAGACAUCUUCGGAGCGCUAAAGGGGGCCGCAAGGCUCUCGCUCGUAGAGGGGCUCGCGCACCAUCAGCUUGUUGGCGGGGUAACGGCCCACCAAGGCCUACGGUUAGCUGGUCUGAGAGGAUGACCAGCAAAGCCUGACAAUGCGACGCUGCGUGGAGGAUGAAGGCCUUCGGGUUGUAAACUCCUGUCAUGGGGGAACAGGCGAGGGGACCCAACACGUCCCUUAGUUGAGUGUACCCCAAGAGGAAGGGACGGCUAACUCUGUGCCAGCAGCCGCGGUAAUACAGAGGUCCCUAGCGUUGUUCGGAUUUACUGGGCGUAAAGGGCACGUAGGUGGCUAGGCGUGUCGCGUGUGAAAUCUCCGGGCCCAACCCGGAAAGUGCGCGCGAAACUACCUGGCUGGAGUACGGGAGAGGGAGUCGGAAUGCAGGGUGUAGCGGUGAAAUGCGUUGAUAUCCUGCAGAACACCGGAGGCGAAGGCGGACUCCUGGAACGUUACUGACGCUAAGGUGCGAAAGUCGGGGGAGCAAACAGGAUUAGAUACCCUGGUAGUCCCGACCUUAAACGGUGCACACUCGGGGUGGGGCCAUUUCACCGGCCCCGUCCCCAAGCCAACGCGUUAAGUGUGCCGCCUGGGGAGUACGGCCGCAAGGCUAAAACUCAAAGAAAUUGACGGGGACCCGCACAAGCAGAGGAGCAUGUGGCUUAAUUCGAUGCAACGCGAAGAACCUUACCUGGGCUUGACAUGCAGCUGCAAGGCCUAUGAAAGUAGGCCGCCUUCGAGGGUGCUGCACAGGUGCUGCAUGGCUGUCGUCAGUUCGUGCCGUGAGGUGUUUGGUUAAGUCCACCAACGAACGCAACCCCUUUGGGAUGUUGCCAGCGGGUAAAGCCCCACCAACGAACGCAACCCCUGCGUCCAGUUGCCAUCGGUUCGGCCGGGCACUCUGGAGGGACCGCCCUUUCACAAGGGAGGAAGGUGGGGAUGACGUCAAGUCAGUAUGGCCCUUACGCCUGGGGCCGCACACGUGCUACAAUGGCCGGCACAGAGGGACGCGAGACCGCGAGGUGGAGCAAAACCCAGAGAACCGGCCCCAGUUCGGAUUGGAGUCUGCAACCCGACUCCAUGAAGUUGGAUUCGCUAGUAACGGCGCAUCAGCAGUUGGUGCCGUGAAUACGUUCCCGGGCCUUGUACACACCGCCCGUCACAUCAUGAAAGCCGUCUGCACCCGAAGCCGGUGGCCCAUCCGCAAGGGGGGAGCCGUCUAAGGUGUGGGUGGUGAUUGGGAUGAAGUCGUAACAAGGUAACCGUAGGGGAACCUGCGGUUGGAUCACCUCC
RNAcentral lists this ribosomal RNA (1516 nucleotides) under bovine gut metagenome. RNAcentral describes it as "Archaeal small subunit ribosomal RNA". It matches the Rfam family "Bacterial small subunit ribosomal RNA". The record is from RNAcentral.